This 420-nucleotide ribosomal RNA is filed under the name uncultured bacterium. RNAcentral's name for it is "bacterial SSU rRNA". It matches the Rfam family "Bacterial small subunit ribosomal RNA", at positions 31 to 496 of the family's 1533-position model. The record is from RNAcentral.
GUACGCUGGCGGCACGCCUAACACAUGCAAGUCGAACGCAGUAGCAAUACUGAGUGGCAAACGGGUGAGUAACAUGUGGGUAUCUGCCCUUCGGCCUGGAAUAACACGAGGAAACUUGUGCUAAUACCGGAUAAGUCUUUACAGAGAAAGCUUUAUGCACCGAUGGAUGAGCCCGCACCUGAUUAGUUAGUUGGUGAGGUAAUGGCUCACCAAGACAAUGAUCAGUAGCUGAUUUGAGAGGAUGAUCAGCCACAUUGGGACUGAGACACGGCCCAAACUCCUACGGGAGGCAGCAGUGGGGAAUCUUGCACAAUGGGGGAAACCCUGAUGCAGCGAUGCCGCGUGAGUGAAGAAGGCCUUUGGGUUGUAAAGCUCUUUCGUCGGGGAAGAAAAUGACUGUACCCGAAUAAGAAGGUCCGG